RNAcentral lists this unclassified non-coding RNA (339 nucleotides) under soil metagenome. RNAcentral describes it as "partial contains 5.8S ribosomal RNA, internal transcribed spacer 2, and large subunit ribosomal RNA". The stretch from base 1 to 120 matches the Rfam family "5.8S ribosomal RNA", at positions 35 to 154 of the family's 154-position model. The record is from RNAcentral.
GAUGAAGAACGCAGCGAAAUGCGAUAAGUAGUGUGAAUUGCAGAAUUCAGUGAAUCAUCGAAUCUUUGAACGCACAUUGCGCCCCUCGGUAUUCCGUGGGGCAUGCCUGUUCGAGCGUCAUUUAUCCCCUCAAGCCUAGCUUGGUAUUGGGUGCUUGUCCCGCCUCUCGCGCGGCGACUCACCUCAAAGUCAUUGGCAGCCCGCAUCUCGCCGGCCGUGAGCGCAGCACAGACGCGCUCUUGGCAACGACGGAUCGGCUCUCCAAAAGCUUAUUUCAACCACUGACCUCGGAUCAGGUAGGGAUACCCGCUGAACUUAAGCAUAUCAAUAAGCGGAGGA